This is a long non-coding RNA of Fukomys damarensis (Damara mole-rat), 966 nucleotides long. RefSeq lists it as uncharacterized. NCBI's taxonomy places the organism in Eukaryota, Metazoa, Chordata, Mammalia, Rodentia, Bathyergidae. The record is from RefSeq and is a predicted model, not a curated record. The transcript is spliced from 4 exons.
UAAGUCUGUUCACUUCCUCACUAAAACGGAAUCGUUCCCGAAACCUCCCCGGAGUCUGCCGGUGUUUCCUCGCCAUCCUGUCCUAUCCCAGCCCCAGCCCCAGUCCAGGCCCCUGAACCUUGUUCCGUGAGCGGUCUCGUGGACAAAAACAACAAUUGGUGCCUGAGCAGGAACUCGCAUAUACUAGAAAGACCAAAACUUCUCAGCUUAGGCCACAACAACUGCUGUUGAACAACCCUGGAGUGCCUACUCAUUAGGAAAACACUGCUGAGGGCCUACUCUGUGGUAGACACGGAACCAGGAAGUGCACUUGCAGAGGUGCAUGCGCUGCACUCACAGGCUGCUAGAACACCCACCUAUAAUUCCAAGGGGCAACUUUGUCACUGAGGGACGUGCUGAGCACUGAAGCAACACUGAGGAGAGAAGACCUGCUUCUGCCUGAAGAGGGAGCAGGAAUCCAUGGACUGCUUAUGCACAGAGGCCUGAUGAGAUGAAAGCUAUGGUUUCGGAAGAAUUUACACGUUGGGUGUUACACAUAUGAGGUCAGUAACAGAGUGGAGAAAUCAGCGGGAAGAACAUUUCAGGACUGGACUUGAAAGGCUGAACUGAAGGCAGUGGGGAUGAACCAGAAGGGAUAAGUACCAAGGAAGAAGAUGGACUGGAUUUGCAAGAGUUUGUAUGCAAGGUGAAGACAGGGAGCAGCACAGGAUUACUUGAAGGCUUUGAGGAGGCUUGAUUGAUGGAGUGCUGAUACCAGAAAUAGAAAUGACAGAAGAGGAACUUGCUUCAGAGUGAAGAUGACAAAUUUAUUUUUAGGUGUUUGAAUUUUGAAGUGACAUGGCAUACCAAGCUAGAUAUGUACAUCUGUUGGUUGAAAAUAUGGAACUGUGAAGGGAGUUCAGGGCUCAGGAUAUAGAUUUGAGGGGUCAUUGAAUAAAAUUAAAGAUCACUUUAUUCAUUUGCCAU